Molecule: ribosomal RNA, 244 nt
Filed under: uncultured bacterium
Lineage: Bacteria
Description: partial small subunit ribosomal RNA
Rfam family: Bacterial small subunit ribosomal RNA
Source: RNAcentral
AGAAUCAACGCUGGCGGCGUGCCUAACACAUGCAAGUCGAACGAGAAAGUGGAGCAAUCCAUGAGUAAAGUGGCGCACGGGUGAGUAACACGUGACUAACCUACCCUCGAGUGGGGAAUAACUUCGGGAAACCGAGGCUAAUACCGCAUAAAAACCUAAGGUCAAAGGAGCAAUCCGUUUGAGGAGGGGUCGCGGCAGAUUAGUUAGUUGGCGGGGUAAUGGCCCACCAAGACGAUGAUCUGUA